UGGGGAAUUUUGCACAAUGGACGAAAGUCUGAUGCAGCAACGCCGCGUGAGUGAAGAAGGCCUUUGGGUUGUAAAGCUCUUUCGGCUGGGAAAAAGGGUUUCACGGUAAAUAAUCGUGAGAUUUGAUGGUACCAGAAGAAGAAGCACCUGCUAACUUCGUGCCAGCAGCAGCGGUAAUACGAAGGGUGCAAGCGUUGUUCGGAAUUAUUGGGCGUAAAGCGCUCGUAGGCGGGUUGGUAAGUUGGUUGUGAAAUCCCUGGGCUUAACCCGGGAACUGCAAUCAAAACUGCCGAUCUUGAAUGCUUGAGAGGGUGGUGGAAUUCCAGGUGUAGAAGUGAAAUUCGUAGAUAUCUGGAGGAACACCGGAGGCGAAGGCGGCCACCUGGCAAGACAUUGACGC
Molecule: ribosomal RNA, 400 nt
Filed under: uncultured bacterium
Lineage: Bacteria
Description: bacterial SSU rRNA
Rfam family: Bacterial small subunit ribosomal RNA
Source: RNAcentral